CCACUUUAAAAAUUCUCAGCAGUGAGCACUUUCCAUUGAAAAAGAAACAUUAAACGCUUUUGUUUUGCCAUAUUAACAAGCUACUGUACAUAUGACACAGUACACCAGACAACAACAGAGGGAGGGAGCUUCUUCUACUUGUAGGAAUGAACUGGAUAGAUAAGAGUCAAACUGAGUUGGUAUUGGCUCAGGGUCAGUCGGAACUCACAACGAGUCACUGCUAGAUGGAACCUUAGAAUCGAAAACAAUUCAUUCUAAUUCUAGAGUUGGAACUCGUGUACUUCAUUCAAAGAUUCAAUUCAAAUAUCAGUGCCUUAUCGUAUAAUGCCAAAAAUCAAUACAUUUUUGUUAACAACUUCUUUCUUUACAAAUGCAAAAUUUAAAAAAAAAGUAUGCAAAAAUAACAGUCAGUCAUUAAUGAAACACAGAGAAUUAUCUUAACUUAUAUUAAGUAAACAGCCCACAAUGUAAAGUAAUGUAACUUACUUUAAUUAAGUUAACUACAGUAGCAUUGCCAGUCAGGUACACAGAACCUGCCCAACUUUACUGUAAUUAACUACAGUAGCACUGCCAGUCAGGUACACAGAACCUGCCCAACUUUACUGUAAUUAACUACAGUAGCACUGCCAGUCAGGUACACAGAACCUGCCCAACUUACUGUAAUUAACUACAGUAGCACUGCCAGUCAGGUACACAGAACCUGUCCAACUUUACUGUAAUUAACUACAGUAGCACUGCCAGUCAGGUACACAGAACCUGCCCAACUUUACUGUAAUUAACUACAGUAGCACUGCCAGUCAGGUACACAGAACCUGCCCAACUUUACUGUAAUUAACUACAGUAGCACUGCCAGUCAGGUACACAGAAGCCGCCCUUACCAUAACAGACAGUGGUUACCUUACUGAACGUGCGUCCGAAAUGGCACCCUAUUCCCUGUAUAGUGCACUACUACUGAUCUGGUCUGGUCAAAAGUAGUGCACUAUAGAGAGAACAGGGUGCCAUUUCAGUAAGCACUUAAGAAUACGAAGUAGUAAAAUGAUCAACACAUGUACGCCUACGCAUUACAGUCAUUCAUCAGCAUAACGAAGCAUGUCGGUUUUUAAAAGGGUUUUAAGGACAUUGAGGACAUUUUCCCUCAAAACUUAGAUGAUAUUCUCGUGGAUGAGAAUGAUUAAAUCUCACUGAGAUUAUUAUUAUUAUUAUUAAUGCACAUAUUUGCUACAAGACAAUUUUAUAGUAGAGUCAUUUUUUUACAUGACAAUUCUUAAAAUGUUUACUUUCUUUCUUACCUUAGAUCAUGAAAAAUAUUUUUGUGUAUUUUCUGUUUUUGUUGUUGUUGUUGCUACGGGCCUUCGUUCGUCAUUCCAUCGUUACAUUUGUCCAUUAUAAGGUUUAUGUGACAAAGCUAUGUUUCAUAUCAUAAACAUGUAGUGAAAUAAAAGAGAACCUACAAAGUUUGUCUGUUGAAAACAGGGAACCUCAUCGACAUCUUUCCUCACAGACAUGUCUUUCCUUUCCUCAUAGACAUGUCUUUCCUUUCCUCAUAGACAUCUUUCCUCAUAGACAUGUCUUUCCUUUCCUCACAGACAUGUCUUUCCUUUCCUCAUUGACAUGUCUUUCCUUUCCUCAUAGACAUGUCUUUCCUUUCCUCAUAGACAUGUCUUUCCUUUCCUCAUAGACAUGUCUUUCCUUUCCUCACAGACAUGUCUUUCCUUUCCUCACAGACAUGUCUUUCCUUUCCUCAUAGACAUGUCUUUCCUUUCCUCACAGACAUGUCUUUCCUUUCCUCACAGACAUGUCUUUCCUUUCCUCAUAGACAUGUCUUUCCUUUCCUCAUAGACGUCUUUCCUUUCCUCAUAGACAUGUCUUUCCUUUCCUCAUAGACAUGUCUUUCCUUUCCUCAUAGACAUCUUUCCUUUCCUCAUAGACAUGUCUUUCCUUUCCUCAUUGACAUGUCUUUCCUUUCCUCAUAGACAUGUCUUUCCUUUCCUCAUAGACGUCUUUCCUUUCCUCAUAGACAUGUCUUUCCUUUCCUCAUUGACAUGUCUUUCCUUUCCUCAUAGACAUGUCUUUCCUUUCCUCAUAGACGUCUUUCCUUUCCUCAUAGACAUGUCUUUCCUUUCCUCACAGACAUGUCUUUCCUUUCCUCACAGACAUGUCUUUCCUUUCCUCAUAGACAUGUCUUUCCUUUCCUCAUUGACAUGUCUUUCCUUUCCUCAUAGACAUGUCUUUCCUUUCCUCAUAGACGUCUUUCCUUUCCUCAUAGACAUGUCUUUCCUUUCCUCACAGACAUGUCUUUCCUUUCCUCAUAGACAUGUCUUUCCUUUCCUCACAGACAUGUCUUUCCUUUCCUCAUAGACAUGUCUUUCCUUUCCUCAUAGACGUCUUUCCUUUCCUCAUAGACAUGUCUUUCCUUUCCUCAUAGACGUGUCUUUCCUUUCCUCAUAGACAUCUUUCCUUUCCUCAUAGACAUGUCUUUCCUUUCCUCAUUGACAUGUCUUUCCUUUCCUCAUAGACAUGUCUUUCCUUUCCUCAUAGACGUCUUUCCUUUCCUCAUAGACAUGUCUUUCCUUUCCUCAUAGACAUGUCUUUCCUUUCCUCAUAGACAUCUUUCCUUUCCUCAUAGACAUGUCUUUCCUUUCCUCACUGACAUGUCUUUCCUUUCCUCACAGACAUGUCUUUCCUUUCCUCAUAGACAUGUCUUUCCUUUCCUCAUAGACAUGUCUUUCCUUUCCUCAUUGACAUGUCUUUCCUUUCCUCACUGACAUGUCUUUCCUUUCCUCAUAGACAUGUCUUUCCUUUCCUCACAGACAUGUCUUUCCUUUCCUCAUUGACAUGUCUUUCCUUUCCUCAUAGACAUGUUUCCUCAUUGACAUGUCUUUCCUUUCCUCACAGACAUGUCUUUCCUUUCCUCAUUGACAUGUCUUUCCUUUCCUCACAGACAUGUCUUUCCUUUCCUCAUUGACAUGUCUUUCCUUUCCUCAUAGACAUGUUUCCUCACUGACAUGUCUUUCCUUUCCUCAUAGACAUGUCUUUCCUUUCCUCACUGACAUGUCUUUCCUUUCCUCAUAGACAUGUCUUUCCUUUCCUCACAGACAUGUCUUUCCUUUCCUCAUUGACAUGUCUUUCCUUUCCUCAUAGACAUGUUUCCUCAUUGACAUGUCUUUCCUUUCCUCACAGACAUGUCUUUCCUUUCCUCAUUGACAUGUCUUUCCUUUCCUCAUUGACAUGUCUUUCCAGUGUUUCCGCUUAAAAAAGGUUCUGAGCACAACGCCUAUAGAAUCGGAUGACAUCACAGAAAUGUCUGCAACCGGGCAAAUAUUUCAUGCCACCACUCUUCUGUUUCGUUCUUGUCAAUAAAACCAAUGCGAUUGUUCUCUUUCAAAGCACACAUCAGAGACCUAUUAUUAUAAUUA
Molecule: long non-coding RNA, 3416 nt
Filed under: Salmo salar (Atlantic salmon)
Lineage: Eukaryota; Metazoa; Chordata; Actinopteri; Salmoniformes; Salmonidae
Description: lncRNA (ENSSSAG00000101020.1)
Source: RNAcentral